This 253-nucleotide ribosomal RNA is filed under the name uncultured bacterium. Its description in RNAcentral is "partial 16S ribosomal RNA". It matches the Rfam family "Bacterial small subunit ribosomal RNA", at positions 524 to 776 of the family's 1533-position model. The record is from RNAcentral.
UACGAAGGGGGCUAGCGUUGUUCGGAAUUACUGGGCGUAAAGCGCGUGUAGGCGGGGCUUUAAGUCAGGGGUGAAAUGCCAAGGCUCAACCUUGGAACUGCCUUUGAUACUGGAGACCUUGAGUCCGGGAGAGGUGAGUGGAAUUGCGAGUGUAGAGGUGAAAUUCGUAGAUAUUCGCAAGAACACCAGUGGCGAAGGCGGCUCACUGGCCCGGAACUGACGCUGAGACGCGAAAGCUAGGGGAGCAAACAGG